This is a long non-coding RNA of Carassius auratus (goldfish), 815 nucleotides long. RefSeq lists it as uncharacterized. The transcript has 2 exons. The record is from RefSeq and is a predicted model, not a curated record. NCBI's taxonomy places the organism in Eukaryota, Metazoa, Chordata, Actinopteri, Cypriniformes, Cyprinidae.
UAUUUUUGACUGUAGUUUGAUAGAAACAUGAUUAAUGUUAAUUCAUUAAUUUGAUGUCAAAUCCGUGGAUGUUGUGCAGGUUUUUACAGACAUGAGGAUCAUCACACGUGUCUCUGUCAAUCACUGAAUCAACUGAGUUUGAUUGUGAGUCACGUCACACUUGAUAUAAAAGUGAAUUUCUUUCAAUAAUUGAGGUUGAUGUUUUAGUAAUAAGACAGAUGAAGUAAAUGCAGGUGAUGUGUGCUGUGAGUGUGUGUUUGUUGGAGACUCAGUUGAUGUGUGUUUGUUCAGUUAGUGAAGCGUUCAGGAGGUUUUUGUUCAGCUGCUCUAUUAGUUUGUAUCACUGUGGUGGACUUUCGGCAGCGGCACCAAACUGGAUGUUGGCAUAGAGAAAAGCUUUGUUCUUGACUGAGGUGAGCGUCCUGCCGCCCUCCAGUGCAGAGAUCUCCUCAAAGAAGACAGCGACACUGGUGUGUGUGGCCAGCAAGGGCUUCCCGUCAGACUGGAGCCUGAGCUGGAAGGUGGACGGGAGCAGCAGGUCUCAGGAGAGCAGCGCUGGGCUCCUGGAGAAGGACGGUCUGUACAGCUGGAGCAGCAGCCUGACUCUCUCUGAGCAGGAGUGGAUGGAGAGCGUCUCAGUGAGCUGUGAGGCCACACGGAGCGGUCAGCCUGCGCUCACUGGACAAGUGACGAGACAGCAGUGUUCAGAGUAGAUCUGCUGCUCUUCUCACUCAUGUCUCACAUGGAGACUAACAGCACAUGAGCGACUCCUUCAUUCUCCACAUCCAGCUUCAGUCGCUCGCAUCUGCAUCUGC